UUGAUCCUGGGGUGUGCGCGUGCUUUGUUUUUUAAACCCACAUUCUAACUUCGGGAGUCAAACUGUNCUCGGUGAUGCAAACCAGCUUUACUGCAGGUAGCCUAAAGAGUACCAGCAAGAUGCCCACCUGCCGAGAGGCGGGUAUUAGAACGCAAGGCAUACGGCACUUUGGGUCNNCN
RNAcentral lists this non-coding RNA (179 nucleotides) under Clostridia bacterium. Its description in RNAcentral is "6S RNA". It matches the Rfam family "6S / SsrS RNA". Rfam says of the family: E. coli 6S RNA was the first non coding RNA to be sequenced, but its function was unknown until recently. It consists of 184 nucleotides that fold into an extended hairpin structure with a large single-stranded internal bulge. The 6S RNA specifically associates with RNA polymerase holoenzyme containing the sigma70 specificity factor. Lineage: Bacteria; Bacillati; Bacillota; Clostridia. The record is from RNAcentral.